AAUAGAUACCCGGGUAGUCCACGCCGUAAACGAUGGAUACUAGCUGUUUGAGCGCAAGUUUGAGUGGCUAAGCGAAAGUGAUAAGUAUCCCACCUGGGGAGUACGGGCGCAAGCCUGAAACUCAAAGGAAUUGACGGGGGCCCGCACAAGCGGUGGAGCAUGUGGUUUAAUUCGAUGAUACGCGAGGAACCUUACCAGGGCUUAAAUGUAGAUUGACGUAUUUGGAAACAGAUAUUUCUUCGGACAAUUUACAAGGUGCUGCAUGGUUGUCGUCAGCUCGUGCCGUGAGGUGUCAGGUUAAGUCCUAUAACGAGCGCAACCCCUGUUGUUAGUUGCCAGCGAGUAAUGUCGGGAACUCUAGCAAGACUGCCAGUGUAAACUGUGAGGAAGGUGGGGAUGACGUCAAAUCAUCACGGCCCUUACGUCCUGGGCCACACACGUGCUACAAUGGCCGGUACAGAGAGCAGCCACUUAGCGAUAAGGAGCGAAUCUAUAAAGCCGGUCACAGUUCGGAUCGGAGUCUGCAAC
This 528-nucleotide ribosomal RNA is filed under the name uncultured bacterium. RNAcentral's name for it is "bacterial SSU rRNA". It matches the Rfam family "Bacterial small subunit ribosomal RNA", at positions 777 to 1311 of the family's 1533-position model. The record is from RNAcentral.